GACGAACGCUGGCGGCGUGCUUAACACAUGCAAGUCGAACGAAGAGCGAUGGAAGCUUGCUUCUAUCAAUCUUAGUGGCGAACGGGUGAGUAACGCGUAAUCAACCUGCCCUUCAGAGGGGGACAACAGUUGGAAACGACUGCUAAUACCGCAUACGAUCUAAUCUCGGCAUCGAGGAUAGAUGAAAGGUGGCCUCUACAUGUAAGCUAUCACUGAAGGAGGGGAUUGCGUCUGAUUAGCUAGUUGGAGGGGUAACGGCCCACCAAGGCGAUGAUCAGUAGCCGGUCUGAGAGGAUGAACGGCCACAUUGGGACUGAGACACGGCCCAGACUCCUACGGGAGGCAGCAGUGGGGAAUCUUCCGCAAUGGACGAAAGUCUGACGGAGCAACGCCGCGUGAGUGAUGACGGCCUUCGGGUUGUAAAGCUCUGUUAAUCGGGACGAAAGGCCUUCUUGCGAAUAGUUAGAAGGAUGACGGUACCGGAAAGAAAG
This 491-nucleotide ribosomal RNA is filed under the name Veillonella parvula. RNAcentral describes it as "bacterial SSU rRNA". It matches the Rfam family "Bacterial small subunit ribosomal RNA", at positions 28 to 490 of the family's 1533-position model. The record is from RNAcentral. Lineage: Bacteria; Bacillati; Bacillota; Negativicutes; Veillonellales; Veillonellaceae.